AGUCAUCUUUAAAGGAGUUGUGGUUGGUUGCCAUUGUGUUGAAGUAAUUUCUUGCUGAAGCACCGGUCUAAAUUUAUCAUUGGUUUCGCUGGUGCUUCAUGUAAGCGGGAUUACUAAUUGUUCCAUUGGUUUUGCUCUGGUGAGUUCUUCCCCAUAUACCUUUGAUGCUUUUGCCUCCAUACCUUCGAGCUAGUAUUUUUUUCAAGGGUUAUCAUGUUUUUGUGGUAGUGUGACUGGCUCAGAGUUUAUAAUCAUUUGUCUUCUUCAAUGAAUGUCUGUGCUAUGAUAUUCUGUAAGGCUAGGCACACACUAAGUUGGUUAAUGCUUUUGAUCUAGGUUGUUGGGAGAUAAUGAAACAAUAAUGUUUAUCUGCUCACAAUGCCUUAUAUUGAUUGCUCUGGACAGGUAUUUUAAUCGUAAGAGAUGUCUCCAAAAAGGCAAAAACAACAAUUCACUGUUGAUUUACUUUGCUACGAUUGCUCCCAUUAGAUUGUCCUUAAAUCAUGUGCAAAGCUGAAGUAUUGUUCGCUGACUGUCAGCCUGACAGAUCAGAUGGGAUGAUGAUGCAGAGUGUUAAAAGGCCUAAUGGGUUAUCUCCUUGGUAGAUGAAGCUUGUUGGAUUGAUUUCAGGCCAUUGAAAACAGAUGACACCAUGCCUCCCCCAGUUAAUGAACAUGUGUCGCUUCCAAGUAAUAAUGAAUUUUCUACUAUCUCUGCUCUGCCGAACUUUCUUUUCUUUUGCCAUUUUGGCUGGUAGUCUUUCAUAGAAUUUUGUGAUAUCUACCUGACUCCAGAAGGUCAUGCAACAUUAAGAAUUGCUGGGUUUGAAAAACACAGGAUGGAAUUGUUAAUUCAUUAUCUCUGUCUGAAGCAAGACAUUUUUGGUACACUGUUGAAUAGAGUUGAUGUAUCAGCAUGAGUAACAUUGCGACAUUCUAAGGGUUGGUGCUAAAAGCCAACCUAGAAACCAUUGUUUUCCCAAAAACUAUGUGGUUCAUAUGUUGACAUGAUUGUUUACUAGUAGGACAACCAGGAGGUAGUGCAAUAUCCUUAUUAGUUAUACUCAGGGAUGCAAAAUCUUCACCUGAUGAUUCCACCCCUUUUUACAUGACACUAGCUGCCGCAUGGUAAAAGGUGUCUCGCCGAUGCUCUUUAUGACACCCGCUGACAGAUUAAUGAGUGCACUCAUAGAGAACAUAACAAGGUAUUUUAGGAAGUGCUUGGACUAGGUUCAAAUUUUUGAAAGUUUUAGGCACGCUUUUUUUACAGUGUUGGUUUCAAGUUUUUCUUUCCGACACAGUUAGACUUUCUGAAAUACAGCCUUGAACUACACAUGAAACAAUAGUGUUUAUUUGGUCACCAGCAAGAUGAUGAUGUGAAACGAAUGACUUUGCGUCUUUCAGAGUUUCUACCAUUAAAUAGUUUCCCAUAACAGAAUAUUUGCUAAUAUUGGUAGCUAAAAAUGAGAUACUUAUGCUUGUUGAUGCAUUCCCUUUUUGUAGUAACAUCCAUGUGUCCAGCAUAUGUAGAAUAUUAGAUUUUUUUGGCUGUUUAUUGUAGUUCGUUCUCAAGGUUUGGAAAAUUCUUUAGCUAUAUUCCUUGUCUCAAGCGAGCAUGAGCAAUAUCUUCUUUAUGCCGCAUGCCGCCAAUUUUCUAUUUUAGAUGGUUGUGUAUUUUCUCUUCUAAAAAGGGAUAUGUAUUUUAUUAAUCUGACUAUAAUUUGUGGUAGGUACAUACUGAAGGAUGUUCUGAGGCUAGCACCUGGUUUAGAAGUUUUGCAAUUCACAACAAUACCUCAUAAUUUUGAUUUGAUGUCCAGAAUGUCAAUUGAAGAAUGAGCCUAUGAACUGCAUUGUAUUUUGUAAUAUAUCCUUAUAUAUGGUGCUUGUGGCGUUUUGUUUUUGCAAUUAUAAGUUUACGUUUAUGGGUAUUAUAGAGUCCUUUCUUUUUCCACAAGGGGCAGUAGCUGUGCCAUUCGAUUCGAAGGACAAAGAGUUGAUCACAAAGGGGUAGCACUUAGGAUAUAUACACAAGAGUAUAGAACCAAAUUAUAUGAUGUAAUUCACCACUAUUUCUAUUAACUUCUCAUGUACAAAUGUUCACGAGUUCAUGUAUUAAGUACAUUUUAUUGUGUCACUUGUGUUUACUCUUUUUAAUGCAAGUUUACAGCUACUCGGAGUUCCUAA
RNAcentral lists this long non-coding RNA (2186 nucleotides) under Triticum aestivum (bread wheat). RNAcentral describes it as "long non-coding RNA (TAES_LNC000311)". The record is from RNAcentral. Lineage: Eukaryota; Viridiplantae; Streptophyta; Magnoliopsida; Poales; Poaceae.